This 481-nucleotide ribosomal RNA is filed under the name uncultured soil bacterium. RNAcentral describes it as "bacterial SSU rRNA". It matches the Rfam family "Bacterial small subunit ribosomal RNA", at positions 26 to 493 of the family's 1533-position model. The record is from RNAcentral.
AGGACGAACGCUGGCGGCGUGCUUAACACAUGCAAGUGGAGCGACGAACCGGGGCUUGCCCCGGGGCAGAGCCGCGAACGGGUGAGUAACACGUGGGUUACCUGCCCCAAUGACCGGGACAACCCGAGGAAACUCGGGCUAAUACCGGAUGUGGUCUUCGGACGAAAGGAAGCUUCGGCCUCCGCAUUGGGAUGGGCCCGCGGCGCAUUAGCUUGGUUGGUGGGGUAACGGCCUACCAAGGCGACGAUGCGUAGCUGGUCUGAGAGGACGAUCAGCCACACUGGGACUGAGACACGGCCCAGACUCCUACGGGAGCAGCAGUGGGAAUCUUGCACAAUGCGACGAAAGCGUGAUGCAGCAACGCCGCGUGAGGGAAGAAGGUCUUCGGGUUACGUAAACCCCGUUUGAGGUUUGGGAACGAAGUCUUCGGUACGGUUAAUACGCCCGGCUAGGAGUUCGGACGGUUACCCUUCGAACGAAA